This is a long non-coding RNA of Bos taurus (domestic cattle), 1542 nucleotides long. The record is from Ensembl. NCBI's taxonomy places the organism in Eukaryota, Metazoa, Chordata, Mammalia, Artiodactyla, Bovidae.
AGAUCGCCAAUGUGAAAAUGCUCGGAGCAGCCACCUGGCAGCCCCGGGGAUGGAUCUAGCCAGGACAGGAGAUGUUUUGAUAGUCCACAGGGACUUAAAAAAAGAAGCUUCUCCCAGGACUGCAAUCUGUGGUUUGAUAAGGUUGCUUCUUGCCGCUAUGGAAACCCAACCGCCAAGUUCUGCACUCCCUGUACAUAUGGAAGAGAGGCCCCUUGAUCUGUAAUACAGCACAGCUCUGUCAUCGUGGCUGAAGAUUCCAGGGAAAGGGAUCUGACCUGAAGGAAAGGAGCUGUGGACUGCUUGGUGGCUAUGGGAUGUCCUGAUAUGACAACACUGCUUUGUACAGACCUGCUGGAUGAGAUGCUAACAAACCCAAACAGGUAUGAUCAUCCCUGAAGCACUUUCCUCACCUCCAUCCUGUGGCUCUGCAACUGGAGGACUGGCCAAUCAGAGCAUCCCGUUCUCCUCGCUGCAGGGACCCGUGUGAGCAUGGGCCUGCAAGUCAAACCAGGUCAGUGAGGCCAAUGGCACUGGCUCCCAGAAGCAAUACUAAAACUGCAAAGAGUUCUCUUUGCUGCAGUUGUGAAGUCAACCUUGCCAGGAGCCACCCUAUGGAGAAAGUCAGCCCUGAUGUGAAAUCAGCCAAGGGGUCGAUGGUAGGGAAGCCUGGGCCACAGAAGUGAGGCCCACCGCUCUCUGCCACAGAUGGGGUGUUCACAGGGUGCUGAUGGCUUGGCACCUGCUUCCGGGGACAAUGGCAUAGCUGGGCUCUGCUUGGAAGGACCAGCCUGCGUCCUGUCUAGCGUGCACUAUAUGAAGCUGACACCAUGCUUGCUGAAAGAAAAAAGCUGGGAACGCAGUGGCUUCUUAGCGGGCGAUAGUUAUUAUUACCAGGACGUGACACAGCCCUUAUCUCCAGUGGAGUCCCCUAACUCUCAGGGCAAAGUCACAGAUUUUCAGAAGGACCCUCAAAAGCCCUUUAGGAAGCUGCCACACUGGAAGGCGUUUCUCCCAGGUCCAGUACAUCAGAUUCUCCUCGAUUCUGGACAGAUCUCUGCUUCCUCAGCAUUUACCUGUGAGCACUUGUGGGGAGUCCAUCUGUUUAAAUGCCAGAGUGACAGAGAUCAGAUCACCAAGGCAUGUGGCAGCUGAGACCCCCGAGAGGACAGACUUCUGCUGCCCAUUUCAGCCUCACUGAGUGGACAGACAGACAACACUGCUUGCAGUGUCAUACUGAUAUUCUGCGCUCCCCCACACCACUUUUUUUUUUCCUUUUUGACCUUUAUUGUCAAAUUCACUAAGGCACAUAGGCACAAUUACACUACAAUAUUACAGUCUGUUUGCAGCUAAGUUAUCACCAUCAAAUCACAUACUACGUGGAUCAGCACCCAAAUGUGAACUGCCAGGUCCAUCUAGCUGGAAAAUACUUUGACAUUUGGAUUAUCUUUUCCCCAACACAUGACUAAAGCUGAAGAGGGCAUAUUUGGAAAGCAAAUUUUGUGGUAAUUCUAAGAUAGCUCUUGAAAAAGCAUAUGAGGACAC